Molecule: ribosomal RNA, 479 nt
Filed under: uncultured bacterium
Lineage: Bacteria
Description: bacterial SSU rRNA
Rfam family: Bacterial small subunit ribosomal RNA
Source: RNAcentral
GACGAACGCNGGCGGCGUGCUUAACACAUGCAAGUCGAACGAAGAGCGAUGGAAGCUUGCUUCUAUCAAUCUUAGUGGCGAACGGGUGAGUAACGCGUAAUCAACCUGCCCUUCAGAGGGGGACAACAGUUGGAAACGACUGCUAAUACCGCAUACGAUCUAAUCUUGGCAUCGAGGAUAGAUGAAAGGUGGCCUCUACAUGUAAGCUAUCACUGAAGGAGGGGAUUGCGUCUGAUUAGCUAGUUGGAGGGGUAACGGCCCACCAAGGCGAUGAUCAGUAGCCGGUCUGAGAGGAUGAACGGCCACAUUGGGACUGAGACACGGCCCAGACUCCUACGGGAGGCAGCAGUGGGGAAUCUUCCGCAAUGGACGAAAGUCUGACGGAGCAACGCCGCGUGAGUGAUGACGGCCUUCGGGUUGUAAAGCUCUGUUAAUCGGGACGAAAGGCCUUCUUGCGAAUAGUGAGAAGGAUGACGNAC